GUCUAUCUUUGGUUUAAACCAGUAUUUGCAGUUCCUUCCUACAAAUUUAAAAUCCAUCCCCGCCUAUGAUACAUUCUUGGAAAACUGAUUUUGCUUGUCCGCUAAGGAAUGUCAGUGAAACCAGUCGAACAUUCCAAGAUUAAUUAUAGUAUAGAAAAGGAAGGGACUUUGACCUAUAGGCUUAAUAGAAGCAUAAAGGGCGUAUGAAUAAAAUGCCUGGGUGAUUCAUUGACUGAUAUCCUGUUUGCUUUCUUAACUUGCCCUUUUCAACAGGUGGAAAAGGUACUCAGACUCCGCCCAUGGAUGGCAACAUUCUUUUUCAGAUAUGUGGGGGAGGAGUCUUGCUUUGACUGAAACUUUAGAUUAGGUUUGAAUGAGUAAACCACUUUCUCACCGGGCUUGAGGUAGUCACAUAAAAGCUUUGUAAAUGUCAAAGAAUUGGGUUUGAGCAGCAUUUGGGUAUGAAUCUCGUACACGUUUUACAUGUAUGAAGAUGCGAUGAUCCUACAAAUGGUAAAUGUGGAGUGUUCAAGACUGUUUCAUAAACGGUACACGGAAAAAAUAGCCUGCAUUUCCACUGACCAGCCCACAGCACGUCCUUCCUUUCUGUCGGUUGUUUGCUUGUAAAGCAUGUUGAUCCGUACUUCACUUUCCAAAACAAUGUUUUUUUUUUGCAUAUAGUGGAGUUUGUUCCCUUCUAUACCCCAAGAGAGGAUAAUUUGGGUUCUGAACUUUACAGAACAGGAAAUCAUAAUAAAUCCCAACCUGUGGCACUGUGGAAAUAAAUAUGGAAACUAAAACUGGAGCAAAAUAUGUGGAAAUAUAGGUUUGGAUACAUUUCUGCUUAUUCACUAUCUGUGGUACCAUACUAACUACAGUGCUAUUUCUAUAUAUAUAUAUCUUAUGUGGAUACUUUUACUCUGAAAAUGAUCAAGCAUUGAUCAUUGAUUGAACUUGUAAACUGAUGGGAUUUGCUUUUGGGCAGUUCAGCAACACAAUUUUAUUUAUUAACAAAGGAACAAAAGUCAUGCUGCUUUGACUUUUAGAAAUACUAUGUUUGAAUGACAACUAAAACAUAAUGAGGGUAAACUGGUUGAAUGAAGAAAGGAAUUAACUCACUAGUAUCGCUCCCAACUGUUGAGUCAAAACAUUAUGAGAUUAUGUUUGACAAGAGGCAGUUUCUCUGUGCAAAACCAUUAAUUACGGUUAGAUUGUCACACAGGUGGAUACUCAAAUCCAAUAGGCAUGAAGUGAAGGUCUUUCUUUCCUACGCAUCUGAUACUCUAGGCAGAGGGGGCAGCAACAUGAUAUUGUAGAAUCUACAUACCUUUGUGUCCCGGAAUCAAUGUCCUCUGGGCACAAACCACAGGAAUUCUGGCUUUGAUAGGGUGACAUGAAUGGGAAGGUUUCAUUUUGGAUUUCUCUUUCAUGAGGGAAAUAAAUAUUUACAUGUUAGUGGUGAAUUGUUUGGUACUUAGGUAUCAGCCAUGAUUGAAUGGCAGAGUAGACUUGAUGGGCCGAAUGGCAUAAUUCUGCUCCUAUUACUUAUGACUUUAUAUGGGUGACUCUUCAAUGUUAACCCAGCCAUUCAGGUAUACAAAGGAAUCCGAGAAGGAAAAACAAAAUUAGUAAGAAUCUUACAAAGAUAAUUUGUGGUAUCUCAUGGCCUCCUUCUUCCCUCAAGGAAGUACUGCAGAACCUUCAACAUCAAACAAGCUGCAGAGAGAAUGCUUUGUGUGCAUAUCUUGUACAUCUAUGUGUGCAUGCCACCACAAGCUUCCUUACAAAUAACACCUUUCAACGGUUAUCCGAAAGCCAAGGCCCUUUAAACAUUUGGCAGACCUAUAAAUAGAAACUAGUUUUGAGACACAAUAGGCUGAUUGGCAUCAGAUUUACGCAAUUUGAUUUUCAUGUCUAUGUUGGCAGACAACUGCUUUCCAGAUAUCCAUCCCUGCUCAGUGAGUGUGUUGUUACCAUAAGCACAACUGCGGAACAGCUUUAUAUUAAACUUCAGAUCUCCUAAAGGAUAAGAAAGGUUUAUAGGGACAUGGGCCAAACAUGGGCAAAUGGGAUUAGCUUAGAUGGGACAUCCUGGUUGGCAUGGAUGAGUUGGGCCGAAGGGACUGUUACCUAUGACCCUAUCCCUGUACUGCAAGAAAACCCAACCAUCCCCACAGUAUUACAGGCUCUGAGUUACAAGGCAGUAAUUAUCCAUAAAUAAGUAUCCUUGUCUAUAUCUGUUCUAAUCAGUAACAAUUAGGAGCACCUUUGAACUAUAUUUACCAGGAAAACUCAAAGGAGGAUUUAAAAACAAGGCCUUCCAAAGUGGAUAAUCCAACGGAAGAUGUUCAGCGGAAGAUUUUUUUUUCACACUGUAAGGAGAUGAAUGAGAACAAUUGGCAUUUCGGACUGAUGUACGGUUACUAUUUCCUCAAAGUUUGAAAAAUCUACAUAUUAAAUUAUUGGAAUAAAAGAAAAUAUUUCAAGAUCAUAUAUCCAGUUAUACUCUUAUGUUUAAUUUCACAUAUGUUCACUUAUUAAGAGAGAGAGAUACUGGAAGUGCAGAUACUGGUUUACAAAAAGAGAUGCAAAAUGCUGGAAUAAUACAUUGGGUCCGGCAGCAUCUCUGGAGAACAUAGAUAGUUGACAUUUCUGGUCAGGACUUCUUCAGGCUUCAUGUACUGUAGUAAGAUGUGGACAUAAGGAACUACAGAUGCUAGUUUACCAAAAAAGAUACAAAGUGUUGGAAUAACUCAGCGGCAGCAUCUCUGGAGGACAUGGAUAGUUGAUGUUUCUGUAGUUCUGAUCAUAAAAUCAUAGAAUGACACAGCCAAUAGCAGGCCCUUCAACUAAACUCCUUCAUGCCAACCAAGGUGCCCCAUCUAAGCUCGCACAAUUUGUUUGCAUUUGCCCCAUCUAAGAUCACCCCAUUUGCCUGCAUUUGGCCCAUAUCCUUCUAAUCCUUACCUAUCCAUGUCUACUCGAAUGUCUCUAAAUUGUUGUUAUAUACCUGCCUUAAUUACUUCCUUUGACAGCUCGUUCCACAUAUCCACCAUACUCUGUGUGAAAGGGUUACUCCGCGAGAUUCUAUUAAUUCUUUCCCCUCUCAUCUUGUAGUUCUGCCCAAUCUCUCCCUAUUGCUCAACCCAAGGAAGGUUGAACUUUACAAAAUCAUAAAGGAUGUAGAUUGGGUGGAGAAGGGUCUGAAGUAUGAAGAAGGGUCUCGACCCAAAACGUUGCCUACUUCUCUCCAUAGAUGCUGCCUCACCCGCUGAAUUUCUCCAGCAUUUUUUUGUCUACCUUCGAUUUUUCCAGCAUCUGCAGUUCUUUCUUAAAUA
This is a long non-coding RNA of Leucoraja erinaceus (little skate), 3338 nucleotides long. RefSeq lists it as uncharacterized. The record is from RefSeq and is a predicted model, not a curated record. Lineage: Eukaryota; Metazoa; Chordata; Chondrichthyes; Rajiformes; Rajidae. The transcript is spliced from 3 exons.